RNAcentral lists this ribosomal RNA (332 nucleotides) under uncultured bacterium. Its description in RNAcentral is "bacterial SSU rRNA". It matches the Rfam family "Bacterial small subunit ribosomal RNA", at positions 568 to 898 of the family's 1533-position model. The record is from RNAcentral.
UGCGCAGGCGGCCGUGUGUGUGGGGCGUGAAAGCCCGGGGCUUAACCCCGGAAUUGCACUCCAAACUACACGGCUAGAGUACUGGAGAGGGUAACGGAAUUCACGGUGUAGCAGUGAAAUGCGUAGAUAUCGUGAGGAACACCAGAGGCGAAGGCGGUUACCUGGACAGUUACUGACGCUCAGGCACGAAAGCGUGGGGAGCAAAAGGGAUUAGAUACCCCUGUAGUCCACGCCCUAAACGGUGCACACUAGGUCUUGGCGGAUUCGACCCCCCCAGGGCCCAAGCUAACGCGUUAAGUGUGCCGCCUGAGGACUACGGCCGCAAGGCUAAA